AACGCGAAGAACCUUACCAGCCCUUGACAUCCCGGUCGCGGAUCGCAGAGAUGCUUUCCUUCAGUUCGGCUGGACCGGUGACAGGUGCUGCAUGGCUGUCGUCAGCUCGUGUCGUGAGAUGUUGGGUUAAGUCCCGCAACGAGCGCAACCCCCGCCUUCAGUUGCCAACGGUUCGGCCGUGCACUCUGGAGGAACUGCCUGUGACAAGCAGGAGGAAGGUGGGGAUGACGUCAAGUCCUCAUGGCCCUUAUGGGCUGGGCUACACACGUGCUACAAUGGCGGUGACAGAGGGAUGCAAUACCGCGAGGUGGAGCUAAUCCCUAAAAGCCGUCUCAGUUCGGAUUGUUCUCUGCAACUCGAGAGCAUGAAGUUGGAAUCGCUAGUAAUCGCGGAUCAGCUCGCCGCGGUGAAUACGUUCCCGGGCCUUGUACACACCG
Molecule: ribosomal RNA, 437 nt
Filed under: uncultured alpha proteobacterium 172-2-1
Lineage: Bacteria; Pseudomonadati; Pseudomonadota; Alphaproteobacteria
Description: bacterial SSU rRNA
Rfam family: Bacterial small subunit ribosomal RNA
Source: RNAcentral